Molecule: long non-coding RNA, 640 nt
Organism: Lolium rigidum
Lineage: Eukaryota; Viridiplantae; Streptophyta; Magnoliopsida; Poales; Poaceae
Exons: 3
Source: RefSeq, a predicted model, not a curated record
GUCGUCCCCUCCCAGCAAUGAGCCUGUUCUUCACUUCGUACUAGAGUUUUACAUGGAGUAAUUUUAGAGUGGAGUAAUUUCAGAGAAUAAGGAUUGCGUGUUAUGCUGCAGUCUGCGGAACUCAAAAUUGACAUAGUGAAGAAGCAGAACACGUUCCUGAUUCAGCAUACUGCAAAGACGGUUCCCAUGCCUUUGCACUACCUACACAUGCAGUUGAUUACAGACUAUUAUUUCUGUGAUGGUUUGAUCAAGGAGUAUUUUCAAGUUGCUGCUUUGAAAGAUGAGGAGGAUAAAUCAAAACUCCAGGAUCACUCUAUGACUAUGCUAUAUUUUCUGAUAAUGUCCUUGCAGCCUCGGUAGUUGUCAGAUGAACUACCACACAUGCCAAGCAACCAGGUGUGCGUUGCAUAUUCAAUCUUGCAAAGAGAAUGGCUGAACUGUCUGAUACAGAAUAUUCAAAUAAAUCAAUCAAUUGAAUUUUCAGCAAAUACAAUCUUGUGAUUCUUGAAAAGCCAACUGGUCUUUUCUCUCAUCCUACAAAACAAUUCCUCCUGGAUAGUUCUUUAUGCUGUCAUAUACCUCACAUUGGUCCAGUUUCCUUUCGUUGCAUGAAGAGGUAAUUUUUCUCCAUGUUAACUAU